Molecule: long non-coding RNA, 392 nt
Filed under: Chinchilla lanigera (long-tailed chinchilla)
Lineage: Eukaryota; Metazoa; Chordata; Mammalia; Rodentia; Chinchillidae
Description: lncRNA (ENSCLAG00000027243.1)
Source: RNAcentral
CUCUGCUACUGAAUAAUUAAGAGGAAAGUAUCUCCUGAGCCCUAAAAAUAAUUAAAAUGCUCCUCUUUUAACAGCUCAAUUAGAAGAGACAUAUGAAAAGAACCAGUAGGAUGGAACACGUCAAGAAUUUGAAGACCCUGAAGACACAACAAUAUUCCAGGAUCCAUGGAGGAAGAUGUCACUGUGGUAAGAUGCAACAAUCCAGAGAUCCCCACCUUCCUGUCCGACCACAGGAUCCAGACUUUACUCAUGAUUAUGAUGAGGACAGUCUUAUUCUAUGUCCUUCAUAUACAGGAGUAACAACCACAUUGCUAAAAGAGAAAAAAAAACCCUCAACUACAGAAGCUAUCAAAGCCAGCAUAGCCCAAUGUGGGCAAGGUGUUAUAGUCUGG